CUUUACUGUAGCUUGGAAUUGGGUUCGGGCUUUGCUUGCGCAGGAUAGGUGGGAGACUAUGAAGUUGCUCUUGUGGGGCACAUAGAGUCAACGGUGAGAUACCACUCUGUCAGAGCUAGAAUUCUAACCUUCACCCGUGAUCCGGGGAAGGAACCGUAUCAGGUGGGCAGUUUGACUGGGGCGGUCGCCUCCUAAAAGGUAACGGAGGCGCGCAAAGGUGUUCUCAGGCUGGUUGGAAAUCAGCCGUAGAGUGUAAAGGCAGAAGGAAGCUUGACUGUGAGACUGACAAGUCAAACAGGGACGAAAGUCGGCUUUAGUGAUCCGACGGCACUGAGUGGAAGGGCCGUCGCUCAACGGAUAAAAGUUA
This 367-nucleotide ribosomal RNA is filed under the name uncultured organism. RNAcentral describes it as "bacterial LSU rRNA". It matches the Rfam family "Bacterial large subunit ribosomal RNA", at positions 2099 to 2465 of the family's 2925-position model. The record is from RNAcentral.